AACGGUCUAUACCUGCGGUACCUGCGGAGGGAUCAUUACCGAGUUCUCGCCCCUCGCGGGGUAGACCUCCCACCCACUGUGAUCACUACCGUCGUUGCUUUGGCGGGCCGCUGGGCCCAGCCCACCGCCGGCUCCGGCUGGCGCGUGCCCGCCAGAGGCCCUACAAACGCUGGAUAUCAGUGCCGUCUGAGUACACAUGUUAAUCGUUAAAACUUUCAGCAACGGAUCUCUAGAUCGGAA
RNAcentral lists this unclassified non-coding RNA (240 nucleotides) under soil metagenome. RNAcentral's name for it is "partial contains 5.8S ribosomal RNA, internal transcribed spacer 2, and large subunit ribosomal RNA". The record is from RNAcentral.